AAAGAUUUAAGUUAAGUAAAAACUGAUAACCUUCAAAGUUAUAAAUAGAAAAAUUUUUCUAAUCUUUA
RNAcentral lists this transfer RNA (68 nucleotides) under Tritoma metasobrina. Its description in RNAcentral is "tRNA-Trp". The record is from RNAcentral. Lineage: Eukaryota; Metazoa; Arthropoda; Insecta; Coleoptera; Erotylidae.